Molecule: ribosomal RNA, 483 nt
Filed under: uncultured bacterium
Lineage: Bacteria
Description: partial 16S ribosomal RNA
Rfam family: Bacterial small subunit ribosomal RNA
Source: RNAcentral
ACUCAAAGGAAUUGACGGGGGCCCGCACAAGCAGCGGAGCGUGUGGUUUAAUUCGAGGCUACACGAAGAACCUUACCUGGGUUUGACAUAUGGGUAGUAGGGAAGCGAAAGCGGACCGACCUUCGGGAGCUCAUACAGGUGCUGCAUGGCUGUCGUCAGCUCGUGCCGUGAGGUGUUCGGUUAAGUCCGCAAACGAGCGCAACCCCUGGGAGUAGUUACAGGUGUCUACUCCGACUGCCCGUGAGAAACGGGAGGAAGGUGGGGAUGACGUCAAGUCAGCAUGGCCUUUAUAUCCAGGGCUACACACACGCUACAAUGGGCGGUACAAUGGGUAGCCAAGUCGCGAGAUGGAGCCAAUCCACAAAGCCGUUCGUAGUUCGGAUUGCAGGCUGCAACUCGCCUGCAUGAAGUCGGAGUUGCUAGUAACCGCAGGUCAGCUAUACUGCGGUGAAUACGUUCCCGGGCCUUGCACACACCGCCCGU